RNAcentral lists this transfer RNA (76 nucleotides) under Methanobacteriota archaeon. RNAcentral's name for it is "Euryarchaeota archaeon tRNA-Asn". It matches the Rfam family "tRNA". From Rfam's summary of the family: Transfer RNA (tRNA) molecules are approximately 80 nucleotides in length. Their secondary structure includes four short double-helical elements and three loops (D, anti-codon, and T loops). Further hydrogen bonds mediate the characteristic L-shaped molecular structure. tRNAs have two regions of fundamental functional importance: the anti-codon, which is responsible for specific mRNA codon recognition, and the 3' end, to which the tRNAs corresponding amino acid is attached (by aminoacyl-tRNA synthetases). tRNAs cope with the degeneracy of the genetic code in two manners: having more than one tRNA (with a specific anti-codon) for a particular amino acid; and 'wobble' base-pairing, i.e. permitting non-standard base-pairing at the 3rd anti-codon position. The record is from RNAcentral. Lineage: Archaea; Methanobacteriati; Methanobacteriota. RNAcentral also lists the same sequence under 2 other names.
GCCGCUUUAGCUUAGUUGGUGGAGCGUGGGACUGUUAAUCCCAAGGUCACAGGUUCAAGCCCUGUAAGCGGCGCCA